AUUUAAUUAGUCACACUUUGUCUGUAGGGAAUUUGAGAUCACAAUUCCUGGAGGAUGAAAGCAUAAUUAUGUAAUUGCUGCGAUGCAAAUUCCAUGUUCUGCAUUUUCUUUUUCAUUUUCCAUUUAAAACUAAAUUGAUUAUAUUUGCUGAGUUGAUGAAGUUUGUUCCCUUGUAUGUUACCAAAGCAAUAAUGGACAACUUUCCUGUGAAGAUAAGAAUUCCAAAUGCAAUUGAUAUGUGAUCCUUGACUUUGUUACAUGAGUGAUUAUAGCAACUUAAGUUUCUGUGCUACUGUCAUGAAUGCUCUGGUAUUUGAUGACUUCCCAUCAUAUAAUGUGAACUUUCUUGGACUUUAAAGUUUAUAUUGUGAAAAGUUAUGGGAUCUUUACUGUUUUAUAUGCAAUUUCAAUGAUGGUUGGGAUUCUAGACUUUCAGUCUUGAUAUUUUAUUUAGAUGGUAUUGGGAAUUAGCUUCAUUCCAAGCUUAGGUGCUCCCAGAAGAGAUUGGAAGUCUGAAGCGUUAAUAUCUAUGAUCAAGUUGACAAAACUUUGUUGUUCUACAAAAAAGGCAAAUUUUCAAGUAAAAGGUACACAAAAUGCAAAGAUUGGUUUGCAAUGUAGUCGUGAUCAGGCAGGCUUGUAAUAUCAAUAAAGCAUCCUUUAACUUAGGCACUGCUUGUUUGUACCAAAUGUCUCUGUUUCUGAUACUUGGUUACAUUCUCUCUUUAAUCAGAUCAGCAUUAUAGAUUACCCACCAAUGUUAAUCUUGUUAUUUUCAUGCAGUGUACCUGUUGGUGGCAUGUAGCAUGUAUGAUAAGUCCAGUGAUGCAAGCAAUGUUAUCAGUUACCGACUGAAAUCAUCAUGAAAUGUUUCAUUAUAUAUCUGGGAAUCACUUAUCUUGACUUUUGGAUCAAAAUAACAUUAUUUUCUUGAUAAUUUCUAUUAGCAUGACUUAUCAAUAUAUGAUUUUAUCAGAGGUUCUGUAUGAAGAAAUAAGUGAAUUUUGAAAAUGAAUUAGUG
This 1021-nucleotide unclassified non-coding RNA is filed under the name Hevea brasiliensis (rubber tree). The record is from RNAcentral. Lineage: Eukaryota; Viridiplantae; Streptophyta; Magnoliopsida; Malpighiales; Euphorbiaceae.